AGAACGAACGCUGGCGGCAUGCCUAACACAUGCAAGUCGAACGCGUGUAGCGAUACACGAGUGGCGGACGGGUGAGUAACGCGUGGGAACCUGCCCUGGAGUGUGGGAUAACCGAGGGAAACUUCGGCUAAUACCGCAUACGACCUGAGGGUGAAAGAUUUAUCGCUCUAGGAGGGGCCCGCGUCGGAUUAGCUAGUUGGUGGGGUAAAGGCCUACCAAGGCAGUGAUCCGUAGCUGGUCUGAGAGGAUGAUCAGCCACACUGGGACUGAGACACGGCCCAGACUCCUACGGGAGGCAGCAGUGGGGAAUAUUGGACAAUGGGGGCAACCCUGAUCCAGCAAUGCCGCGUGAGUGAUGAAGGCCUUAGGGUUGUAAAGCUCUUUCGCGCGCGACGAUGAUGACGGUAGCGCGAGAAGAACGCCCGGCUAACUUCGCGCCAGCAGCCGC
RNAcentral lists this ribosomal RNA (448 nucleotides) under uncultured bacterium. Its description in RNAcentral is "SSU rRNA". It matches the Rfam family "Bacterial small subunit ribosomal RNA", at positions 26 to 518 of the family's 1533-position model. The record is from RNAcentral.